UGGGGAAUAUUGCACAAUGGGCGCAAGCCUGAUGCAGCCAUGCCGCGUGUGUGAAGAAGGCCUUCGGGUUGUAAAGCACUUUCAGCGGGGAGGAAGGCGAUAAGGUUAAUAACCUCAUCGAUUGACGUUACCCGCAGAAGAAGCACCGGCUAACUCCGUGCCAGCAGCCGCGGUAAUACGGAGGGUGCAAGCGUUAAUCGGAAUUACUGGGCGUAAAGCGCACGCAGGCGGUCUGUCAAGUCGGAUGUGAAAUCCCCGGGCUCAACCUGGGAACUGCAUUCGAAACUGGCAGGCUAGAGUCUUGUAGAGGGGGGUAGAAUUCCAUGUGUAGCGGUGAAAUGCGUAGAGAUGUGGAGGAAUACCGGUGGCGAAGGCGGCCCCCUGGAAAAAGACUGACGCUCAGGUGCGAAAGCGUGGGGAGCAAACAGG
RNAcentral lists this ribosomal RNA (429 nucleotides) under Chloroflexota bacterium. Its description in RNAcentral is "Chloroflexi bacterium partial 16S ribosomal RNA". It matches the Rfam family "Bacterial small subunit ribosomal RNA", at positions 355 to 776 of the family's 1533-position model. The record is from RNAcentral. Lineage: Bacteria; Bacillati; Chloroflexota.